GCCUGGGUGGCUCAGUCAGUUAAGCGUCUGACUUCAGCUCAGGUCAUGAUCUCACGGUUCGUGGGUUCAAGCCCCACAUUGGGCU
This 85-nucleotide transfer RNA is filed under the name Felis catus (domestic cat). It matches the Rfam family "tRNA". From Rfam's summary of the family: Transfer RNA (tRNA) molecules are approximately 80 nucleotides in length. Their secondary structure includes four short double-helical elements and three loops (D, anti-codon, and T loops). Further hydrogen bonds mediate the characteristic L-shaped molecular structure. tRNAs have two regions of fundamental functional importance: the anti-codon, which is responsible for specific mRNA codon recognition, and the 3' end, to which the tRNAs corresponding amino acid is attached (by aminoacyl-tRNA synthetases). tRNAs cope with the degeneracy of the genetic code in two manners: having more than one tRNA (with a specific anti-codon) for a particular amino acid; and 'wobble' base-pairing, i.e. permitting non-standard base-pairing at the 3rd anti-codon position. Lineage: Eukaryota; Metazoa; Chordata; Mammalia; Carnivora; Felidae. The record is from Rfam by way of RNAcentral.